GCCGCGCGGGUCGCGGAGCGUCUCGGGGGAGCCGCGCUCGUGGAUCACGGUGGAGAAGCGCACGAUGACGGGGGUCUGCACGCCGGGGGCACGGAGGAAGUCGGCGCAGGUGAGGUGGGACACGUCGUGGGUCACCUCGAAGAAGCCCUUGGCGCUGGCGCCCCGGGCGUGCACCACCCGCUCCGGGAUGCGCUCGCGGUCGAAGUCGGCGAUCUUCUCCACCAGGUGGUAGUCCUCCAGCAGGAUUGGGCCUGAAUUCACAGUCACAGUACAUACAAGCAUCGUCAGUAAAUCAAUUUGCAGGCGUCGUCAGCAUCAAACACUCGAUUGAUAAUUUGAUAUGCAUGGUAUGUUUGUCCUGAAUUGUUCUUAAUCUCCUCUAUGAUUAUUAACACUUAAAGAAUAAUCAAGUUCUUUGUGUCUUUCUUUCACCAUGAAUGAUUCAGUUGUUCCCAAU
Molecule: long non-coding RNA, 457 nt
Filed under: Triticum aestivum (bread wheat)
Lineage: Eukaryota; Viridiplantae; Streptophyta; Magnoliopsida; Poales; Poaceae
Description: long non-coding RNA (TAES_LNC006420)
Source: RNAcentral